UUUCCACCAUAUUCUAUUGGUUGAAGUAGUCACAAGUCCACCUGGAUUCAAGGGGAGGGGACAGAGGCCCCAUCUCUUGAUAGGAGAAGUGCCAACAUUUUAAACCUGCUGCAUUGCUAACUGUAGUAUUUCUUUAAAGUUGUGACUUCUGUUUUUUUUUUUUUUUCUAUUUUUAGGAUUGGUGGCGAGUCCUUAGCAGUUGCCCAGAAUACAUAUGCUGUGAGCUGGUUUAAAGGCAAAGAAUUAAACCUGGUGUUUGGACUUCAACUUAGCAUGGCUAGAAUUGGAAGUACAGUAAACAUGAACCUCAUGGGAUGGCUGUAUUCUAAGAUUGAAGCUUUGUUAGGUUCUGCUGGUCACACAACCCUCGGGAUCACACUUAUGAUUGGGGGUAUAACAUGUAUUCUUUCACUAAUCUGUGCCUUGGCUCUUGCCUACUUGGAUCA
This 446-nucleotide small RNA is filed under the name Pan troglodytes (chimpanzee). RNAcentral describes it as "retained intron". Lineage: Eukaryota; Metazoa; Chordata; Mammalia; Primates; Hominidae. The record is from RNAcentral.